GCUCCUCUGGAGAGACCAAAUCUGCAAAUACUACGGUACUGACUGAACUUAUAAUCAAGUUGAAUGUCUGGCAGAGUUUGGGAAUUCAGUUGCUGUCAUACUAAAUAAAGGCUUUAAUCUGGAGAAGAGGAGAUUAAAAAGAUCAUUUUAAGUUAAAGGAUGGGGGUUCAUUUAAUGAAAUCUCCAACUACUCAAAACUGGAGUGUGUCUGUGGAAAUAUCUAAUGGAGAGCCAAAGCAAUCUCACCAUUGUGGAGUCCAAAGUACCCAGGAUGACAUCUUCUGAAUCUCUUCCACUGACCUGGUUUCCCUAAAAUAUUUCCUGGCAGAACCAUGUGAAUGAGAGCAUGACCAUUAGAAAAAAGGCAUUUUAAAACUCUGGUCUUUUUUCAAAUUAAAAACAUACAAGACCAUUUUUAUAGUCAUAUAGCUAACUUUUGAUUAUUCAGGAUCAUGGGGAUAAAAGUUAGGGUGACCAAACCAGGAUCAACAGGGAAAAGAGGAAAGGAACCAACUGUAAAAUUCAUUUGUAAAAAUCAGA
Neogale vison (American mink) is the source of this 540-nucleotide long non-coding RNA. RefSeq lists it as uncharacterized. Lineage: Eukaryota; Metazoa; Chordata; Mammalia; Carnivora; Mustelidae. The record is from RefSeq and is a predicted model, not a curated record. The transcript has 3 exons.